GUAACAAAGUUUAUUUUGACCGACUAUUCCUAGCAUAAAUGGUAAAAAAUUUGAUGGUUGGUACUUAAGAUCCCAAGUUCGAAUCCUAAUUUAUUCACAUUUCCAGCUAAGUUUAUUUCUAAAUGAAAUAAACGAAGCAGGUAGCACGCUACCUAUCUCUCUGUCAAAAAAAAAAACCGUAAGAUCUAAAGUUUGUACAUGAUAACAUACCUCAAGAAACCAUAUUUCUGCUUUGGCUUGCCGGUGCCGAAGUGAUCAUUCAGUUUUUUCGCUAAAGCUAAAGCUCGAGCCUUUCACAUUGUCCAAAUCUGGAGAGACUAGUUAAGGGAACCGCUUGAUGCGGAGUGAAGAUAUUAUUACAGUUAAUUGUUAUAGUAUAUAAAUUAAUAUUUUUGACUGAGUUUAGCACUUAAAAAUUAUGAUGACAGAUUAUUACACUGUACCUAAGAUGGGUCUCUAUAUAUUUAAACAUGCAAUAAAAUUUUACAUUAAUUAACACUUUGUUACGGGUUUUUUAUUUUUAUAACCAUUUUGAUAAAUAGAAUAAUACAAAAAAUAGCACAUCAAAUUAUGAUGAUAGAUUAACUCUCAAAAAAAAAAAAAUUAUGAUGAUAGAUUAUUACACAAUAGCUAAGAGGGAUCACUAUAUAUUACAAUAUUCAAUAAAAUUUUACGUCCAACUUGUUUUCUUCCUACCGACCGUCCCAAGUGCAAGUGGCAAAAAAAUAUGGUGGUUCGUAUUCAAGACCCAAGUUUCAAUCCUAAUUGAUUCAUAUUUCUAGCUAAGUUUAUUUCUGAAUGAAAUAAACGAAGCGGAUAUCAUACUACAUUUCUCUCAAAAAAAAAAAAAAAAACUUGUUUUCUUUCUAACUCUAUUUUUUGUUUUUUACAUCCAAAUUGGAUACAGACAUAUAUAUAUAUAUGUGUGUGUGUGUGUGUGUGUGUUUUUAAAAGGACUAUAUAUGAAAAAUUAUAAAUUUAUACACUUAUUUAUUUUCAAAAAUUAUUUUCUUUGAUAUCAUUAAUUAUAAAAUAUUGGAAGCCUAACUGAUAAUUUUUUUAACAGAAUAUUCUUAUGCAUAUCUUUCUUUUAAAUAUAAUAGAUUACAUUUAUCAAAAUAGAUUUUAAUUUUAUAAGAAUAAAAAUUUAUGGAGCCUUAAAAUUCCGACAAAAGUCAAAUUUUUCUAUGAUUAACCUUAAAAGAGAUUACCUACUAUGGACAAUCUGCUUAAAAGAGUUGGUUAGGAAAUAGCAGAUGUAUCUUGUGUGCUGAUUAUCUGGAGACAACUGAUCAUUUGUUGGUGGAUGUGUCGUUCGCAAGUUCAUUUUUUCUCGCUCCUCAAAGACUCUCACGCCCUCCUUUCCUCUGAGGACGUCAAUACCGCCUGGGAGGGUUGUCAGGAAAGGGUCACUAGUUGACAUUAUGAAGGUUAGAUAGUUGUGGCGACCACAUGGUGGAUGAUCUGAUGGAAAGAAAUAAUGUUAUCUUUCGAAAUCUACCUAUGAACGCGAUCUCUACAACGCAUCGUGUGAGAGUUCUGGUGAAAGAUUGGGCCUUGUUGCGUACAACUGGGUGAUGUCGGUGUUUGUCGGCACCCUUCGUUUUUUACGCUUUUUAAGUCUAUAGCACUCUCUUCUUUUUUCAUUUUCUGCUUCUUAGUUGCCUCGAGGCUCCGAGGCUUGCUGUCUCACUCUUGUAGCUAAAUUUAAUUACUUAAUGAAUGAACGGGUAGCAAUGCUGCCUUUCUCUCAAAAAAAAAAAAAAAAAAAAAUUAUGGAGCCCUCAACUGUAGGUCAUUUUGAAAAAACUUCAGUAUUUGUAGAGUUAAUUUAUUCUAAUAACUUUAUUCAAAAUUCAAUCAAACCUAAUGGUUUUGAUAGCAAUUCUAUAAAUAAAUAUUUUGACUAAAAAGUUAAAGUUGGAUGGUUAAUUUCAAAUUGCCAAACAAGUGGGGAUGUUUUUAUCUUAUUAAAAUUAAUAGGAAACACAUGCACCUUGUAUAUAUUAACACUCCUAAGUGGCAACUUAUAUUAGAUGACUAAUACUACGAUAUCAAAACUUAAUUUAGCAUAUCCAACAUACAAACUCUAAUAGUUUGAAUUAUGUUCAAUGAAUUAGAUUUUAAACUCAUUAUUAAAGAAUUUUAAGUAUGUAGUAUAUGUACAGAUAUACAUUCGAUGCAAAGAAUGCUUAAUAGGAUGCACUCAUAAUUUCAUAAUUUCAAGAGAGAGAAGAAAUAUUUGCUCACCCUAGUCUAUACUAAUACUCUACACACUACACAGUAUAUUAAAUGAUUAAUGAAAUAUUUGAUGAUUUGUACUAUAAAAUAAAAUAUUUAAUAUAUAUAUAUAUAUAUAUAUAUAUAUAUAUAUAUAAGUAUUUAAUAAUCUAUUUCAUUACAAAAUUUUAUCUUUGAUGUAUAUUUUAGAGUCAGUUUAUGGUGCAGUGAACGGGUCCAACAUUUUUUUGGACACGUUGCAAGCUUCUGUUCGUUCAUGCACUCGGCUCACUCAGGAUCCUUUUUUUUGUGGACAUGUUGCCAAUUCAUGUAUUCUUAUAGAUUAUAGAUAUACAAACCGCAGAAGUUUUAUAGUCUAUUGAAUUUGAUAUAAAUAUGAACUAGGAUGAUUUCUGAUAAAAGAGGUAUUACAAAACAUCAACAUGAUCCAUCAAACUAGCAACAAAAAAAAAAAAAGAAUAAAUCUUUUCUGUAUUAAGUCUAAAAAGAAACAUAUUUACAAGAGUCAGGUUCUUUUCGCAAUUUUGUAACUGAGCUCAAGAAUUUCACAACUUAGAUAUUACAGUGCCCAUAAAUAACUUUUCCUUGCGCUGACACUACCUCUUUCUUAAACUUUACACACUAAACUAACAAAAAAGUAUUACGUAGGCCUCAAUCACAAAUUAAAGCACUCAAUUAAAUGGUAAUAUACAUGAAGUAAAAGAAAAGAUCACUACGCUUCAGCUAUCACAAUUUCAUUCGAAGAGGCCGACGUAGUUGAAUGUGAGCCAUCUAACCCCUCUCGAGAGAGAGAAUACGCGAGAAGCAGUUUCACUACAUGCCUGAAUCUCCUUCUGUAUGUCGGGAACUUCGAUAUGCUCCUUUGUAUGCCGACUAACCUGUCAAUAAAUUUAUGGCCAGUGCUUCAGCUACAUAAAUGAAUCAAAUCAGUAUCACAGCAAUUGAGUCUUGAAUGGAUUUUCUACUCGGAAGCAGAAGCUACGUAAUUAUUAAACAAAAAAGUUUAGAGCUCUUGUUGUUGCAGAAAACCAAAAUGAGCUUUUGGGUCUCAAAAGCAGAAGCUUAAAUUUGGAAGUUAUUAGAAGGUUUCUAUCUGACACUACUCAAAUACGGAUUCACAAUAAAAACAGAAGAUGAAAAUUCCAAGUCUGCAAUUGUUAAAAGGUAUAGCAAAUAACAGAAAAUGGAAGAGGGAGAAGAUUAGUGCACACUGUUUGCAACUUCUAGUUCUUCAGUUGGAUGAGAGCAUUUCUUUGAAUAAGAGUUGGAUGAAAACUUAUGCAAAAUGCAGUGAGUAAACUAUUCAAGAAUACACGGAGUAUUCGUUCAUGGUAAUUUAAGAAAGUGCAACUGAGAAGAAGCAUGCUUACUGGUAAUAAAUAAUACAAAAUUAAAUAUUUAUAUAUAUCAGUUGUAAUUAAUCAUAAUUAUAUGUACGACCUUAAGUCAGCGACAUCACCAUACCUUCUGCUAAUGGCCUGAAUCUGAGCAAGCCUGAGAGCAUCUUGAGGGAUAACCGGAAUACUACUCGAUGCACUAGCACUUUGACUAUUACCAAUAUAGAGAACUAGUUUUUCCAAUAAACUCACUUCCUCCUCCCUCAGUUUCAAGACCUGGAUUUGAUCCUUCAAAACCAUGAUAGGGUGAAAGAACCAAUCGACGACCCGAUCCUGCGGGCGAUUGAGAUGGUUGACCUCAAUACCGCCACUUAGCAAUAGUCCGCUCGAACCGCACUUGAUAGAGUAGAGGAGAGAUUGGAGGAAAGCAUAAGAAGGUAGCCCGAGGCCCACAAAUUCUUGGCUAUUUCCCUUUGUUCCCAACCACUCAAUUAGAUUAACCGACGUUAUAGAGUUUGAAUCAAUGAGUUCUCUUCCCCUCAUUUCGCAUGAUUUCAUCAUAUUCUCCCAUAUCUGCAAAAGAAAAAGGAAGGAAACUAUAUUUUCAAGGUGCGACAUCUCAAGCAUACAACAAAUGAACAUAACAUGUUAUAUCUCAUAUUUAUCAAAGAUUGGCAAAUGAUUUUUGAUAUCUCUCAGUAUUUGUAGUUCGCAUUGGAAGUUUUGAUUGAACAUAAACAAAAUUGGUCAUGGAAGAUCUUCUGGAACAGUUCAUGUAUCAGUAGAUUGUUCAUAUUUACACCUCUGAUAUAAGGAUAUGUAAGUAGUAAUAUCCUAGAUUGUAACUUUAUUAUAAGCAUUGCUAACAUCAAAAAUAUAAAGUGACGAGUUAAUUUGUAAACCAAAAGCCAUAAACUAACAUCCUCCCAAUGGAAAUCAUUUGUUUGAAGACGAAAAUAAGAAACAAGAACUAAAGAUUCAUAUAGUAGCAUCUCAAAAAUGAAAUACCAACCUGUACCAUUUUCACUUCUUGUAUUGCCUCUCUAACCGAUCUUGAAGGGGCCAGCUUCGGCACCAACAAACCAGGAGCUCCAGACGAACCAGAAGUGGAGGCCUCUCCUUUAGCAACAGUGGGUCCUACAGAAAACUCUUCUGAGCGAGAUUGUUUCCUCUUUCUGUAUCGGGGCCUGGCUUGGAAAUGAAAAGCUAUUAUUGAUCACAGAUGACAUUAGAAGUCGAAAAGAUGCUAUUAAAAAGAUUGAACUAAUAUCACUAGAUGAAAGACUCGGCAGCAUUUUGUAGAAACAAGAACAAUUACUUUGGAAGGAUAGACCCUUCUCUCAGAUAGAGCCAAUCGUUAGUGUACUCAUCAAACUCCGAAACCAUGGCAACUACAAAAGCGACUCCCCUUCGGAAAGACCUCUCCUGCAUUAAGAACCCAUGUACGUUUGAAUGAAAUUUACUGUUAACGAUGUUUACAUAUAUACAACUGCAAAGUUAUCAAUUUACAUAAAUAAACUUUCAAACGAGGCCUACGAAACUUUCCUCUUAAGUAUACACCUCUACCUAAGAAAGUACCUCUGCAAAGAGCUUUUCUAAUAAAGCCAAAUACAGCAUAUGAAUUGCAUGACUUUCCAACUAAAAAUAAUGAUACUUUUGUAAGAAAUUACACUUUCAAUGGUAAAAUGCAUUUAAUACAUGACUUCGCAGGGAGAUGUAUGUGGUGCAUUUGUGUGUUAAAGCCACUAAAGGUAAAUCAGUACUACUCGCAAGAAUAAACAAAUAAAAAAAUGAUAAGAAUAGGUAAUUACCUGAUACACAACAACUGAGCUAUAGAGUCCAAUGAAAAUGCUUGAGACAAUAGCCAAGAGAACACUUCCAACGACAAUGAGAGGCCACAGAAGAAUAGCGAGACCAGCGAUUGGCACACAAACUGUUUCAAGAAAUGGCCCUUCUCUACUUAUCAAGUCAUGAAGCAACCUCUGCCACCCCUUGAAAAGCAUAUAAGGGCUCUUUAUUAAAGCUAUGAUGGUGUAAAGCGGCACGUCCACUGUUAAGCCCAGCAGAGCAACAAGAAUACAAGCAGGCACAUACAGCAACCUGCACAAAGUUUGUUUGAUCAACUACAGUUAAAAAAAAAAUGAGUGUUUGAUACAAAAAUACAUAAAUAGUCGGGACAAGCUACUUGAUAAUUGUUGCUGUUUUUUAAAGAAAAGAGAGUUCAUUUUAGGAUGGUCGUUCUACCAGCCAAAUGCCAAAGAGGUGGUACUUACUUUGUUGAUAGCACAAUAUAUGGCAUCGUGUCGCAUAGGAAACAAAACACAAAAUCCCUCACAUUUCUCCAAAUUAACAAAGACGUAGACUUAACAAUAACAAAAUCCCUUGUCAUGAUGGACAUAAUAGCAAAUCUUUCCUACGGAUAGGGGAAAAUAAAAGCUACCUGAUUGAGUAGGGCUGAAGAUUAGCAGGGCUCUCGCGAAAUUCUUUCAGGUAGAGCGGGUAGGAGUGGUAGCACAUAUCUGCAAAGUCCCUAACCACCGUGCAACUCCCUCGGAUUGUGCCCCAAGUUCCAUCCUGGGCAUGAACCACACAUAAUGCAAUAUGAAUCACAUUACCUGCAAAUUCUUUCAGGUAGAUUAAUUAUAGAUUAAAUUCUUUACCACAACAGAGUGGAGGAACUUCUUGGUUUCACUAUCCUCUCGAAAGGCCUCAAAAGUGGAGACCCACGGCGUAAAGAAGCCGUAACCGAGCCCGACUAAGACACUUCCAGAAAUGCUGAGAGCUAGCCAUAAUCCAAACAAUGUUGGCAGAGCUAAAAGUAGAGCGAAUUUGAGAGCUGCAUUGACACGGUUGGUCCUGUAAUAGAAAAGGCAAUGUGCCUAAAAUUAACUGUUCCAACAUAAAUGCAUAAAAAAGUUCCAAUCAUAGAAGGAAAGUAUUGGACUCUCUUUCACAAUCUACUCUCCAUUCUUUGAAACAAAAGGGUCUUUAAGCAUAAUGGUAAGUAUUACAGUUUGUAUAUAUGCUGAAAACAUCCUAGAUAUGCAACAGAACUGUAAUUUAACAACUUAAAAAGAAUUCAAAGAAGUAAAUAAGAAAACAAUCAAAGUAGAUAACACUUGUUAUGAUGCCAGAAAAAGACCAUAUAUUAAUUUACACUGCUUUCAAUAAAACAACUAUCUUUGACGAAAUUGUGUCUUGGUAUCCUAAAAGGAAGUUUGAGUUUUCUUCGAUAAGAAGUUAUAGUUGUCUUACUCUCAUCGACACUACUAACACUGGUAAAAUUCUCAGCAAACUCCCAUAAAAACAAAGUAAAACAGCAUGUUACAAUACGGGUGGCAAUCCUGAACAUGAUACAAUCACACGAACCUAACACAAUCUAACAUAAACAAUAUUACUGAAAUAAGCUUAUAGCCGACAUGGCAUGAACCCGUCUAUUCCGAAAAUUGACACAACAGAAUACAAACGCCACGAGUAAGAAACAAGUUGACUUUUUGAGCACUUAAUGUUCUAUUACAAAAUUAGUAUGAUCUUACAAUUGACAUUACUACCACGAUUGUUGGAUACGAACAAGACGCACUAACCUCAAAUGUCACCCCUGGUUCAAAAUCUAACUUCCACAAGAACCUACCAAUCAAUUAUCAUUUUAUACCAUUACAAACUAUAACAAUUGAUUUUUUUGCCCCAAAAAACAGUAGAAAUUGAGAGAACACAAAGGCAAUGAGAUGUCUCACUUAAUGAUAGAGUAAACGGUCCACCCAACAUGAGCAGGGAAGAGGCCAAGUAUCACCCCGAAAUUUCCAAUUAUAAGAAGCGCCGCCGCAAUAGGACCCACCAAAAAUGCUGCAACCCAAGAAACAAAAAGACCAAACAUAAUAAAUCCUUUCAUCAGAAAGGAGCAAACUUUAUUGUUGAUCAACAUAAACCCAACAAUGAUAAUUUGAAAAAAAAAAAAAAAGGAAAAGGAAAAAAUGUAUGUACCUUACCUGAACUACAGCUAUUUUGUGCCUCUAAAAAUUUUAAUUUUACUAUCCAACAAUGCAUUUACUUUGACUACGCUUGUUUUAAUUGAAAUAUAGCCAUGUGAAUUAUAUAAGAUACUGUAAUCAAGCACAAUAAACUAAAUGGCGCCUUCAAAUUCUGAAGUGGACAAACCAUCAAAAUGAAUCUCAAAGUUAGGUAGUAAAAUCAUGGCUAAAUUGCUUGUUUGGUUUCUCAAACUAUGAGAUGCGUGACAUUUGUUGCUCAAACUUUAAUUUAUUGUAACUUCUGACUCGAACUUUUUAAAUUGUCGUUACUGUGGAAGUAAUAUAGCAGUACUAUGACUAAUGAUAUGACAAUAAUUAAAAUAUCACAUUAUUUUCACAUUAUGGAUGCGUCAACAUUUAGUCAAUUAAAUUAGGUCAUCGGACUUAGAUUGCAACGAUUUACAAAAUUCGAGCUAAAGCUAUAACAAAUUAUAGUUUGAGGACCAAAAUGUCAACCAACCGUGCAAUUUAGCCUAAAAUCAAACAUUUUGAAGGAUGGAUACUCACACCACAAUGGGCAAUAGUUCAUAUAAGUUUUAUACAU
This 8150-nucleotide long non-coding RNA is filed under the name Ananas comosus (pineapple). RNAcentral describes it as "long non-coding RNA (ACOM_LNC029857)". Lineage: Eukaryota; Viridiplantae; Streptophyta; Magnoliopsida; Poales; Bromeliaceae. The record is from RNAcentral.